RNAcentral lists this ribosomal RNA (1099 nucleotides) under uncultured bacterium. RNAcentral's name for it is "bacterial SSU rRNA". It matches the Rfam family "Bacterial small subunit ribosomal RNA", at positions 36 to 1121 of the family's 1533-position model. The record is from RNAcentral.
CUGGCGGCGUGCUUAACACAUGCAAGUGGAGCGACGAACCAGGCUUCGGCCUGGGGCAAAGCCGCGAACGGGUGAGUAACACGUGGGUAACCUGCCCCGAAGACCGGGACAACCCGGGGAAACCCGGGCUAAUACCGGAUGUGGUCAUCGUUCACAAGGACGAUGAGCAAAGGGAGCUUCGGCCCCCGCUUCGGGAUGGGCCCGCGGCCUAUUAGCUUGUUGGUGAGGUAACGGCUCACCAAGGCGACGAUAGGUAGCUGGUCUGAGAGGACGAUCAGCCACACUGGGACUGAGACACGGCCCAGACUCCUACGGGAGGCAGCAGUGGGGAAUCUUGCGCAAUGCGCGAAAGCGUGACGCAGCAACGCCGCGUGGGGGAAGAAGGCCUUCGGGUUGUAAACCCCUUUCAGGAGGGAAGAAGCUUCGGCGGUGAAUAGCCGUCCGGAGUGACGGUACCUCCACAAGAAGCCCCGGCUAACUACGUGCCAGCAGCCGCGGUAAUACGUAGGGGGCCAGCGUUGUCCGGAAUCAUUGGGCGUAAAGCGCGCGUAGGCGGUCGGAUAAGUCCGGUGUGAAAGUCAAAGGCUCAACCUUUGAAUGCCGCUGGAAACUGUCUGGCUUGAGUCCGGGAGGGGCGAGUGGAAUUCCUGGUGUAGCGGUGAAAUGCGCAGAUAUCAGGAGGAACACCAAUGGCGAAGGCAGCUCGCUGGAACGGUACUGACGCUGAGGCGCGAAAGCGUGGGGAGCGAACAGGAUUAGAUACCCAGGUAGUCCACGCCGUAAACGAUGGGCACUAGGUGUGGGAGGUGUCGACUCCUUCCAUGCCGUCGCUAACGCAUUAAGUGCCCCGCCUGGGGAGUACGGCCGCAAGGCUAAAACUCAAAGGAAUUGACGGGGACCCGCACAAGCAGCGGAGCAUGUGGUUCAAUUCGACGCAACGCGAAGAACCUUACCUGGGCUUGACAUGUAGGUGACAGCCGUGGAAACACGGUCUCCCUUCGGGGCACCUUCACAGGUGGUGCAUGGCUGUCGUCAGAUCGUGCCGUGAGGUGUUGGGUUAAGUCCCGCAACGAGCGCAACCCUAAUCACUAGUGAAUUC